This 403-nucleotide long non-coding RNA is filed under the name Helianthus annuus (common sunflower). Its description in RNAcentral is "sRNA HanXRQr2_Chr16g0769501". Lineage: Eukaryota; Viridiplantae; Streptophyta; Magnoliopsida; Asterales; Asteraceae. The record is from RNAcentral.
AACUGCUUGGUGGUGGGAUUAAAUACAUAAUAUUUACUAGCACCAUUGGGUCCUUUGGGCCGGGUAACGCAAAGUAGUAACCCAUUACAAGAUUGCACGACUUCAACACCCGGGCGAUCAAAUAUAAAUCAAGACAACGAAAAGGGGGAGUGCUUGGGUUUUCAACAUCAAAGGGAACAUAUAUAUCGGUAGCAAUAAGACCUGUUGGAGAUUUUGAAAGGUUAUCAUACCUUUGGGUGAAAUAUUUCUGACUCAAAAGCAAACGCCAGUGUUUGGAAACGGAUUUGAAACGAAAGAUGGAGGCAGCAGGGAGGCGGAGAAGAAUCUCGGUAAAAAGGUCAUCGUUGAAACGAGAGAUAGAGGCAUGAAGCAUCUUCUUGGUUUGGGCUCUGGGUUUCAAUAG